CUUAGGGCUAAGAUAGAGCAGCCAAUGAAGAACCUUGCCUCCAGGGCAGAGAUCAGUGUUUUUUGGUGAGAGUUCUCCGUGAACAGCAGUGAAAUUGCUCUGGUGGCAUGGUGGGGAACAUGCUGGAAAGUUUUCUUUUAAGGUGCUAGGAAAAUCUGUUCAUGGGGAGGUGUCUUGCUGGAGACACUGCUCUAUGAAACUGCCUGGGAGGUGCCAUGGGAAGCUGCUGGAUGCUGCUGGCCGCCAUGCACUGCAGGAGCCCGAUGCCAGCAAAGGUGUGCACCACAGGAGCUGGCAAUACAGGAGCUACCUGUGCUGCAGGAACCAGCCCAGAGGCCCCACAGAACUGUUUCAGUUACCUGCAGUCAACCAUGGUCUGAAAAUAUUACAUGGAAAAUUCACUGCCACAAUGUCUACAUCACUCAUUUCACUUCAUCUCCUCACAUACCCACUGUAUUAUCUCACGUCACCACAAGAGGAAAAAGGAGCAGAAAGAGAAAUCCACAGAGAUGUUGAUAAGUAUUUCCUCAUAGAUGAACAAAACUUGGCCCACUAUACUGAAAAGAAAAGCAAAUGAAAACAACCAGGAUGUAAGAGCCAAGAGGCUCUGAUUUGGUGAUGCCAGAAUCGUCAUGUUUGCCAAAUGGAUGUUUGCCAAAGUGCUCCAUGAAACCAUCCGUCAAAGCAGUGAUUUAUUACAAGAGAUUCAGCUUGCAAGCCUGUGGAAGGACUGAUGAGUGUUCUGUCAGGGUCUCUAAGUGACUCCCAGAGCAAUAAAUUUCUAUUAGAUCAAGGGAGCAACUGCUCUGAGGCUGCCACUGAAGCCACAUGAGAAUCCAGAAGAUAUAGAAGCCACCACUGCAACUUACCUCUUGAUACACAAGAAUCUGGAGAAUGGACUCUCUUAGUUACAAUCCCAGCAUUAUGAAGAUGGAUAAAGAAGAUGCUGCUGCAGCUGCUGCAGCCACAGCUACUUCCAGACACACAGUAAAGGUGAAAAUAGGCUCUCACCUCAAGGGAGUUUAGGAACAUCCAUACCAUUUAGCUUUCCAAUUUCUCCAAAAGAAAGACUGUGGGAUGGAAUGGAGUGGCUAAAUCCACAGUGACCUUUGUAGGGGCACCUUCAUUUGGAUGUUCCACAGGUUCUUCAGUCAACUUGUCCAUAACCAAACUCAUCCUCCUCCUACAUUCCAUAAAUCCACUCUUUUUUUUGUUAUUGAAUUGUGUAUCAUAAUGAAUAGUAUCAUUACUAGUUUUAUAAAUUAUAACUGUUUCAUUUCCAGUGACUCACCUGCCCUUCAUGCCACUCUUCAAUCUCUAUUGUAAUAUAGUUCAGUUGAAAUGACCUCUUUAACCUCCUUAGUCUUGUCUUGGUUCUGAAUCUAAUGCCAGUGGCUUGGAUUGGGCCUUCUAAUAUUUUAAGUGACCUGUUGAAAUAACCUACAAAUUUCUGUUUAUCAUUUUAGCUUUGCUCUCUCCUAAUCUUAUCUCUAGACAUUGCAUCAGUUGAUAUUUCUAAACAAAACACUGAUUAUGUCAUUCUCCUUUAAAAAUCUUUCCAAAGCUCCUCAUUGCCUUCAGGAAAGUAGACCAAUUUCUUAUCAUUGCCUAGAGGACCUCAUGACCUGAUUAUGACCAGUCCCUCUAACCUCUCUUCUCACUUCUCCUCAAUCAUGCUCCGUGGAGCAAGUAUACUGACCCAUUUAAAGCACCAAGUCAGUAUCUUCGUAAAUACUUCCCUGUGUAACUGAAAUAUUCUGACCUCCCUCUGUCAUGUCUCUUCACCUAAGAUUUUCCUACCUCUAGAAGUCUCCUUGUUGAUGGAUCACCUAUUCCUAGUCAAGAUUAGGUACCACCCUAUGGUUCAUCUGCAUAUUUUAUCACUCAUAUAGCAUGUAAUCAUUUACUUCUACACAUAUCCUCAUUGAACUGUAGACUCUCUGUAUCUGCCUUUCACCUCUGUAUCUCUAGUGACUAACACAGAGCUUAGAGCAUAGCGUUUUGUAAAUGUCUGUGUAAUGAAUGAUUGAAUAAACUUUAUAUAUUAUCAGAAAACUUUAUUCUUCACUUUUAAUAUUUCCUAGUCAUCACACCUAACCACAAAAUAAGAAAAUUCAUAGCACUAUUAAAUAUAAUCUAG
This 2140-nucleotide long non-coding RNA is filed under the name Equus caballus (horse). RNAcentral's name for it is "lncRNA (ENSECAG00000049760.1)". Lineage: Eukaryota; Metazoa; Chordata; Mammalia; Perissodactyla; Equidae. The record is from RNAcentral.